This 253-nucleotide ribosomal RNA is filed under the name uncultured bacterium. Its description in RNAcentral is "partial 16S ribosomal RNA". It matches the Rfam family "Archaeal small subunit ribosomal RNA", at positions 474 to 727 of the family's 1478-position model. The record is from RNAcentral.
UACCAGCACCCCGAGUGGUCGGGACGAUUAUUGGGCCUAAAGCAUCCGUAGCCGGUCCUACAAGUCUUCCGUUAAAUCCACCUGCUUAACAGAUGGGCUGCGGAAGAUACUAUAAGGCUAGGAGGCGGGAGAGGCAAGCGGUACUCAGUGGGUAGGGGUAAAAUCCUCUGAUCCAUUGAAGACCACCAGUGGCGAAGGCGGCUUGCCAGAACGCGCUCGACGGUGAGGGAUGAAAGCUGGGGGAGCAAACCGG